This 134-nucleotide ribosomal RNA is filed under the name Candidatus Uhrbacteria bacterium. RNAcentral describes it as "partial 23S ribosomal RNA". It matches the Rfam family "Bacterial large subunit ribosomal RNA", at positions 2770 to 2925 of the family's 2925-position model. Lineage: Bacteria; Candidatus Uhriibacteriota. The record is from RNAcentral.
GCUGAAAGCAUCUAAGCGGGAAGUCGACCUUAAGAUUAAUCUUCUUAGACACCUCAGAGACUAUGAGGUUGAUAGGCACUAGGUGUAAGCUCGGUAACGAGUUCAGCCAAGGUGUACUAAUUGGUCAUAUGGCU